UAAUCAAAUAAGCGGAGGAAAAGAAACCAACUGGGAUUACCUUAGUAACGGCGAGUGAAGCGGUAAAAGCUCAAAUUUGAAAUCUGGUACUUUCAGUGCCCGAGUUGUAAUUUGUAGAAUUUGUCUUUGAUUAGGUCCUUGUCUAUGUUCCUUGGAACAGGACGUCAUAGAGGGUGAGAAUCCCGUUUGGCGAGGAUACCUUUUCUCUGUAAGACUUUUUCGAAGAGUCGAGUUGUUUGGGAAUGCAGCUCAAAGUGGGUGGUAAAUUCCAUCUAAAGCUAAAUAUUGGCGAGAGACCGAUAGCGAACAAGUACAGUGAUGGAAAGAUGAAAAGAACUUUGAAAAGAGAGUGAAAAAGUACGUGAAAUUGUUGAAAGGGAAGGGCAUUUGAUCAGACAUGGUGUUUUUUGCAUGCACUCGCCUCUCGUGGGCUUGGGCCUCUCAAAAAUUUCACUGGGCCAACAUCAAUUCUGGCAGCAGGAUAAAUCAUUAAGAAUGUAGCUACUUCGGUAGUGUUAUAGCUUUUUGGAAUACUGUUAGCCGGGAUUGAGGACUGCGCUUCGGCAAGGAUGUUGGCAUAAUGGUUAAAUGCCGCCCGUCUUGAACC
Molecule: ribosomal RNA, 607 nt
Filed under: Hanseniaspora uvarum
Lineage: Eukaryota; Fungi; Ascomycota; Saccharomycetes; Saccharomycodales; Saccharomycodaceae
Description: eukaryotic LSU rRNA
Rfam family: Eukaryotic large subunit ribosomal RNA
Source: RNAcentral